CCUACGGGUGGCAGCAGUGAGGAAUAUUGGUCAAUGGACGAGAGUCUGAACCAGCCAAGUAGCGUGAAGGAUGACUGCCCUAUGGGUUGUAAACCUCUUUUACAAGGGAAUAAAACGCGGCACGUGUGCCUGUUUGCAUGUACUUUAUGAAUAAGGGUCGGCUAACUCCGUGCCAGCAGCCGCGGUAAUACGGAAGGCCCGAGCGUUAUCCGGAUUUAUUGGGGUUAAAGGGAGCGUCGGUGGGUUGUUAAAUCAGUUGUGAAAGUUUGCGGCUCAACCGUAAAAUUGCAAUUGAUACUGGCAGUCUUGAGUACAGUUGAGGCAAGCGGAAUUCGUGGUGUAGCGGUGAAAUGCUUAGAUAUCACGAAGAACCCCGAUUGCGAAGGCAGCUUACUAGACUGUGACUGACAUUGAUGCUCGAAGGUGUGGGUAUCAAACAGGAUUAGAUACCCCUGUAGUC
Molecule: ribosomal RNA, 460 nt
Filed under: uncultured bacterium
Lineage: Bacteria
Description: partial 16S ribosomal RNA
Rfam family: Bacterial small subunit ribosomal RNA
Source: RNAcentral